RNAcentral lists this transfer RNA (86 nucleotides) under Acidobacteria bacterium SCN 69-37. RNAcentral's name for it is "tRNA-Leu". It matches the Rfam family "tRNA". From Rfam's summary of the family: Transfer RNA (tRNA) molecules are approximately 80 nucleotides in length. The record is from RNAcentral. Lineage: Bacteria; Pseudomonadati; Acidobacteriota.
GCCGGGGUGGCGAAACUGGCAGACGCACGGGACUUAAAAUCCCGAGUCGCGCAAGCGACGUGUGGGUUCGAUUCCCACCCCCGGCA